GAGGAGGAGGAGUCAGUCAGUUGAGGUGUGGAGUGUGUGGAGAGGAGGUGUGUGGAUCUGUGUACCAAAGUGGAUAGGUUCCAGCGAUGUAGAAGUCAACCCCACGACAAGAGAGAGAGAGAGAGAGAGAGAGAGAGAAAAGCGUAUGUGAAAACGAAGAAAAGGAGAAAUAAAAAAGAAAAUGGGAAAAAAGUCAAAGAUUUUAAGGCAAACUGUGAUAGAAUAAAAGAAAACGCGAAGAAAAUAAAGAAAAUUAAAGAAAGUGAGAUAGAGUGAGGAAAAUAAAGAAAGAAAGUGAGAAAGAGAGAUAGAGAGAGAGA
Long non-coding RNA from Portunus trituberculatus (swimming crab), 320 nucleotides. RefSeq lists it as uncharacterized. NCBI's taxonomy places the organism in Eukaryota, Metazoa, Arthropoda, Malacostraca, Decapoda, Portunidae. The record is from RefSeq and is a predicted model, not a curated record. The transcript is spliced from 2 exons.